RNAcentral lists this ribosomal RNA (428 nucleotides) under uncultured archaeon. RNAcentral's name for it is "bacterial SSU rRNA". It matches the Rfam family "Archaeal small subunit ribosomal RNA", at positions 474 to 903 of the family's 1478-position model. The record is from RNAcentral.
UACCUGCAGCUCAAGUGGUGACCGUUAUUAUUGGGCCUAAAACGUUUGUAGCCGGUUUAGUAAAUGCCUGGGUAAAUCGUGUAGCUCAACUAUACGAAUUCCGGGUAGACUGCUAAACUUGAGACCGGGAGAAGUUAGAGGUACUCCUGGGGUAGAGGUAAAAUUCUGUAAUCCUAGGGGGACCACCAGUGGCGAAGGCGUCUGACUAGAACGGGUCUGACGGUGAGGGACGAAGCCCUGGGGCGCAAACCGGAUUAGAUACCCGGGUAGUCCAGGGUGUAAACGCUGCUUGCUUGAUGUUAGUCGGGCUCCGAGCCCGAUUAGUGUCGGAGAGAAGUUGUUAAGCAAGCUGCCUGGGAAGUACGGUCGCAAGACUGAAACUUAAAGGAAUUGGCGGGGAGCACAGCAACGGGUGGAGCGUGCGGUUU